Phrynosoma platyrhinos (Desert horned lizard) is the source of this 73-nucleotide non-coding RNA. Lineage: Eukaryota; Metazoa; Chordata; Lepidosauria; Squamata; Phrynosomatidae. The record is from the annotation of a GenBank genome assembly.
UGCUCUGUGGUGUUGUGGUUUGAGCUGUUAGACUGCAACUCUAGAGACCAGGGUUUGAGUCCUGGCUGGGCCG